Molecule: long non-coding RNA, 1015 nt
Organism: Benincasa hispida (wax gourd)
Lineage: Eukaryota; Viridiplantae; Streptophyta; Magnoliopsida; Cucurbitales; Cucurbitaceae
Source: RefSeq, a predicted model, not a curated record
AUUAAAUUUCUUCAUUUAAGUGUUUCAUGACCAACCGACAACCACCACCCUUGAAGUUCGUGUGACUUCUUUCGGCGUUUGUGCUUCCGACGUUCAUCUUCCAGUUCCAGCAUUUGUCUUCCAGUUCUGGCAUCGUGUUUCACUGCUUCAUGCUUUCAAUUCUAGUCCAGCGUUCGUGCUUCCAGAUCCGACGUUUGUGUUUCCAAUGUUCAUGUUUCCGGCGUUCGUCUUCCAGUUUCAACGUUGUUCUUCCAGUUCCGGCGUCGUGUUUCACUACUUUGUACUUCCAGUUCUGGUCCAGUUUUUAUGCUUCCAGUUCCGGCGUUUGUGCUUCAUUGCUUCCGAUCCGGCGUUAGUGCUUCCACUAUCCACUGUCCAACGCCCGACCUAUUUUUAACAGCGUGCUUCUAGUGUUCUGCGACCACCAAUAUUUUUCGUUUGUAACUUUAAGUUGGAUUCUUCUGAAAAGGUAUAUAUGGAUACACCAGAAAAUUCAGCAACAGUUCAGGAUUAGGAUCAAAUAGAGAUUCCAGUCACAAUCAAAGCAACAACAAGUAGUCCAAUAAAGAAACGCAGCAAAAUGGUUAUGAUGUAUUCUCCUCGAGUCCUCUCCCCUAUGGUCUAGGAUUAUCAUGAGCAAGUAUGACCGUCAUCCUUUUGACUGGAUGUCGGGUGGGAUUAAAGGCACAUUCAAGAAUCCAUGGAAAGAGAUCUCUUCAGAGCUCCCUUCUUUUUCUGAGUUGAUUCAGUGUGUGGUGGGAGAGGGGAUUGAGACUUAGUUAUGGGGCAUCCCCUCCCCUUUGGUAGCAACUUUCCUCGUCUUUUUUAUUAUCUUUCUACUAAGAAAAUUUGUUUUGUCGCUGAUGUUCUGUUGCAUUCAAGGAGCUCACCCUCUUUCUCAUUUAGUUUCCGCUGUUCUUUGUCUAAUAGGAAAACAACAGAGGUUAUGGCCCUCCAUUCUUUAUAGGGGGAUGUUGAGUUUAGGUAAGGGAAAAGGGAUGUUUGUAUUUAUAGU